GACGAACGCUGGCGGCGUGCUUAACACAUGCAAGUCGAACGGAAAGGCCCUGCUUUUGUGGGGUGCUCGAGUGGCGAACGGGUGAGUAACACGUGAGUAACCUGCCCUUGACUUUGGGAUAACUUCAGGAAACUGGGGCUAAUACCGGAUAGGAGCUCCUGCUGCAUGGUGGGGGUUGGAAAGUUUCGGCGGUUGGGGAUGGACUCGCGGCUUAUCAGCUUGUUGGUGGGGUAGUGGCUUACCAAGGCUUUGACGGGUAGCCGGCCUGAGAGGGUGACCGGCCACAUUGGGACUGAGAUACGGCCCAGACUCCUACGGGAGGCAGCAGUGGGGUAUAUUGCACAAUGGGCUGAAGCCUGAUGCAGCAACGCCGCGUGCGGGAUGACGGCCUUCGGGUUGUAAACCGCUUUCGCCUGUGACGAAGCGUGAGUGACGGUAAUGGGUAAAGAAGCACCGGCUAACUACGUG
Molecule: ribosomal RNA, 468 nt
Filed under: uncultured bacterium
Lineage: Bacteria
Description: partial 16S ribosomal RNA
Rfam family: Bacterial small subunit ribosomal RNA
Source: RNAcentral